UACGGCCAGAUUGCGUUGAAACAUCAAUUAUCGUACGAUCGGCGAACUUAAGCAACAUUAAGCCUGGUCAGUAGCUAGAUGGGUGACCUCUUGGGAAUACCAAGUGCUGUAAG
Non-coding RNA from Acanthosepion pharaonis, 113 nucleotides. NCBI's taxonomy places the organism in Eukaryota, Metazoa, Mollusca, Cephalopoda, Sepiida, Sepiidae. The record is from the annotation of a GenBank genome assembly.